Molecule: long non-coding RNA, 76 nt
Organism: Etheostoma cragini (Arkansas darter)
Lineage: Eukaryota; Metazoa; Chordata; Actinopteri; Perciformes; Percidae
Exons: 3
Source: RefSeq, a predicted model, not a curated record
AUGCAACUACUUAAAUACAAGUACCUCAAAUUUGUAUACUUAAAUACAGUACUUGAGUAAGUGUACUUACAUUCCA